GCUAUAAUCUGUUAAGCCAUGGGGCCAUGAGAAGGUUUAGGUGCUUUAAUUCCCCUUACCUACAGGAAUGGUCAUUCCAUGGAUUUUGUCUGCCCAACCGGCAUAAUACCUCAGGGUUUUUAUGACUCCCUGGAGAUCGACGUAGAAAGCUUGCAAGAAUGGUUUACCACUGUUCAGGGAUUCCAUAGUCUGGAGGACAAGAAAAAGCAAGAAUUGCCCUGUCUCUCUCAACCAAGUCCGCCAGCUUAUCCAAAAGAUGGCCUCUUUCCGAUGCAUCCAUUCUCCUCCAAACAGAGCCCAGAGAAAAUGCGAGCCGGGCUGCCCUCACUGCUUUGUCCGUAUCGACCUGUGAAGAAGGAAGAAAAAAACUGAAGGCACAGAGGUGGGAAAGUGGAUCCUGGAUAAAAGUCCUGCCCAAGUCAAGACUCAAAGCUGAAGACUCCAAUUAUCUAUAAAUCACUUGAAUUUCCUGCAGAGAAAGAGAAAAAGGAGGAAAGAGCGAGACAGACAGAAAAACAGAGACAGAGGAUGUGCCAAGUGAAACAUUUGAUACCUGUCCUAAACCAAAUUUUUCUCAAAAGCAACUAGGAGUUACCUGAUACCUCAAAACCAAGCUUAGAAGAAACAUGUUGCCAUUCUUUUUGGCUUAAUAUUAAAUGAAAGAAUUGUCUUUUAAUUGUUCCACGAGUAUAAAAUGUGUAACGCUGCACAUCUGAGAUGAUGGCACUGUGUAUUCUGAUUUA
Molecule: long non-coding RNA, 743 nt
Organism: Pipra filicauda (Wire-tailed manakin)
Lineage: Eukaryota; Metazoa; Chordata; Aves; Passeriformes; Pipridae
Exons: 3
Source: RefSeq, a predicted model, not a curated record